RNAcentral lists this long non-coding RNA (604 nucleotides) under Homo sapiens (human). RNAcentral describes it as "non-protein coding lnc-ZSCAN2-5:8". The record is from RNAcentral. Lineage: Eukaryota; Metazoa; Chordata; Mammalia; Primates; Hominidae.
UGGCUUCCCAGUGAGGUGAUGAAGAGGUUUGAGCUUUAGAGUGCGGUUGCAAAGCUCUUCUCUGACCUGAACAAUGGCUGUAGCUGUGGACCAACAAAUCCAGACUCCUUCAGUACAAGAUCUCCAAAUAGUUAAACUGGAAGAAGAUUCCCACUGGGAGCAGGAAAUUUCCCUUCAAGGGAAUUACCCUGGACCAGAGACAUCCUGCCAGAGCUUUUGGCAUUUCCGUUACCAAGAAGCAUCACGACCCCGAGAGGCCCUCCUCCAGCUCCAGAAGCUCUGUUGUCAGUGGCUAAGGCCAGAGAAGUGUACAAAAGAGCAGAUCCUGGAGUUGCUGGUCCUAGAACAGUUCCCGACUGUCCUUCUCCAGGAGAUCCAGAUCUGGGUCAGACAGCAGCAUCCGGAGAGUGGAGAGGAGGCAGUGGCCCUGGUGGAAGACUUGCAGAAAGAACCUGGAAGACAGAGGCUGGAGGUGAGCUAUAAAAACAUAGUUCCGAACAGUUAAAAUAGAGCCCUGCCUGAUGUGGCUCUGGGAAUUCCUGCAGAGAAGAGCAGGGGUGGCCAGGAGAUAGUGAGCAGCUCCCAGGAGGCAUGGAGGGAUCCA